AUUCCUACGUAACAUAGGGGCUCUCCCAUGCCAGAACCCUCAUGGAAAUAUCUGUUCUUAUCAGUUUAAUGUCUGAUACGCCCCUUACCUGGGGGCCAUAUUAUUAGAUGGAAUUUUUGAACAGGGAUAUGAAAAAAAAACCCUAUCUUAGCGGGUGUUAUAGCCAAUUUAACAUUGAAGCUGGCCAAUUGC
Molecule: small nuclear RNA, 192 nt
Organism: Pseudophryne corroboree (corroboree frog)
Lineage: Eukaryota; Metazoa; Chordata; Amphibia; Anura; Myobatrachidae
Product: U2 spliceosomal RNA
Exons: 1
Source: RefSeq, a predicted model, not a curated record